RNAcentral lists this long non-coding RNA (558 nucleotides) under Pan troglodytes (chimpanzee). RNAcentral's name for it is "lincRNA". Lineage: Eukaryota; Metazoa; Chordata; Mammalia; Primates; Hominidae. The record is from RNAcentral.
CCUACCUUUUGUUAUAGGAGUGUUGGCCAUGACCCUUAUGACGGAUGGGGAAAGACAUCACAUCCUUCCUCUCCUACUUGCAGAAAUAUGAAUACUCAAGGUUAAUGUCAAGGACGUUUGUUCCACUUCGCAUCUGAAUUGACAAGGAAUGGACUCUUCAGCUCUGACAGAAAAUCUCUCUUCAGAAGUCUGGAAAAGCAGAAAGAGAAGAAUGAAGAAAUGUCCACAAAACUGCUCCUAUCCUUUACACCACAUAGGACCAAACUCUUGCCUUUCAUCAGUUUUCAGUUUGUACAUUAAUGUAUCCUGGUGAAGUUCCUCAACCACUUCUGCAACAUUCAAUUUUAAUUUAUAUUUGCCCACAUUAUUUCAUUUGUGAUUUGGACACAUGCAGGCUACUGAAUAUAAUGGAUACAAAUCUCUCACUGAUUCCCUUGAGCUAUUUCAUUGUUCUGCUUUCACAGGCAGGAGACAGUCAAGAAAUAAUGAUUCAGUUAUUUCUUAAACAUUUCACAAUUCUACAUUCAAUAAAGAGUAUGUGAAUUCCUGGAAGUUAUG